CGUAGGAGGCGAGCGUUGUCCGGAAUCAUUGGGCGUAAAGAGCGCGCAGGCGGCCUGUCAAGUCGGGUGUGAAAUCCCGGGGCUCAACCCCGGGACUGCAUCCGAUACUGUCAGGCUAGAGGUAGGUAGGGGAGAUCGGAAUUCCUGGUGUAGCGGUGAAAUGCGCAGAUAUCAGGAGGAACACCGGUGGCGAAAGCGGAUCUCUGGGCCUUACCUGACGCUCAGGCGCGAAAGCUAGGGGAGCGAACAGGAUUAGAUACCCUGGUAGUCCUAGCCGUAAACGUUGGGUGCUAGGUGUGGGCGGAUAUCGACCCUGUCCGUGCCGAAGCUAACGCAUUAAGCACCCCGCCUGGGGAGUACGGCCGCAAGGCUA
This 373-nucleotide ribosomal RNA is filed under the name uncultured organism. RNAcentral's name for it is "bacterial SSU rRNA". It matches the Rfam family "Bacterial small subunit ribosomal RNA", at positions 526 to 896 of the family's 1533-position model. The record is from RNAcentral.